GAUGAACGCUGGCGGCGUGCCUAAUACAUGCAAGUCGAGCGAACAGAUGAGGAGCUUGCUCCUCUGACGUUAGCGGCGGACGGGUGAGUAACACGUGGAUAACCUACCUAUAAGACUGGGAUCACUUCGGGAAACCGGAGCUAAUACCGGAUAAUCUAUUGAACCGCAUGGUUCAAUAGUGAAAGACGGUUUUGCUGUCACUUAUAGAUGGAUCCGCGCCGCAUUAGCUAGUUGGUAAGGUAACGGCUUACCAAGGCAACGAUGCGUAGCCGACCUGAGAGGGUGAUCGGCCACACUGGAACUGAGACACGGUCCAGACUCCUACGGGAGGCAGCAGUAGGGAAUCUUCCGCAAUGGGCGAAAGCCUGACGGAGCAACGCCGCGUGAGUGAUGAAGGUCUUCGGAUCGUAAAACUCUGUUAUUAGGGAAGAACAAAUGUGUAAGUAACUAUGCACGUCUUGACGGUACCUAAUCAGAAAGCCACGGCUAACUACGUG
This 497-nucleotide ribosomal RNA is filed under the name uncultured bacterium. RNAcentral's name for it is "partial 16S ribosomal RNA". It matches the Rfam family "Bacterial small subunit ribosomal RNA", at positions 28 to 507 of the family's 1533-position model. The record is from RNAcentral.